AGGACCACUCCUGCGUAUCCACUGGAGCCUAUGCGAGUGCCUGUGGAUCUGUGGUCUCUGCCCAGCUUGGGGUAUGGAGGCAUGGAGGCCUCAACAUGGAGCUGAAAGCAUCAAACCUAAGGGUGUCCUCUGCCAUUCUGGAGGGGCAGUUGCUGGUCUGCCCAGCCUUCUAUGAUUCUAAACCAAAUGACAGCAAAGCUCAAGAAGAGUUCAGAGAAAAUGAUCCUGACAACCUGCUUUCCAAGGGCCUUGAAAAUUUUGCUUCUGGCUUGUUACUAACAAUGGUAAUAUAGUAUCACUUUGAUACAACACCACUUCUAGUCUCCCUCAAACAUGGCUUUGCUAAUCAUUGUAAUCUUCUCCACAUGAGAAAUUUUUGGCAUUUUAUGGGAGUCAGCUGAGAAUUUUCCUGGACUUGAACCUUAAAGAUUUUGCUGAAUAUUUUAAUCUGUGGACUGUGAAUGACUUUAUAAUACAGUUUUCCUUUCAUUUUGU
Molecule: long non-coding RNA, 495 nt
Filed under: Anas platyrhynchos platyrhynchos (common mallard)
Lineage: Eukaryota; Metazoa; Chordata; Aves; Anseriformes; Anatidae
Description: lncRNA (ENSAPLG00000028660.1)
Source: RNAcentral